UUUUGAUAAAUUAUUUAAACCGACUGUAGCAAUUAACAAUGUCGUAAGUGAAAAACCGCUACUUUUCAGUAGAGCCGUUUUAAGUUUUAAAUAUGACUAAAAUAGUUCUAAAAUUUACAUUACUCUAUCUAUCUUAACCAAAUUCGGCAUGGUGACUUAGUUUUAAAUGUGCUACAAGGUAGUAAGAUAAAAAGUUAGCAUUUUUGAUAGGAAAGGUGAAAAAAGGCACAUGUGACAUUAUUAACCGUCAAAUCCCAGAUUAACUUUGUCGGAAGAGUUAGAUCCAACAAUGUUAACUGGACUUGGUAUUAUAAAUUUUGUUGGUAGUGGGAGAUUCAACAAUGAUCACUGAACUUAGUACUCAAAAUUUUGUCGGAAGUGGGAAAUCCUGCUAUUUUAAGUGGACUUUAUAUUCUUUACGAUGUCGGAUUUAUGCUUUCCUGAAUAAAUUUUUCCAUGAAAA
Non-coding RNA from Plutella xylostella (diamondback moth), 463 nucleotides. Lineage: Eukaryota; Metazoa; Arthropoda; Insecta; Lepidoptera; Plutellidae. The record is from RefSeq and is a predicted model, not a curated record.